Molecule: long non-coding RNA, 1337 nt
Organism: Paramisgurnus dabryanus
Lineage: Eukaryota; Metazoa; Chordata; Actinopteri; Cypriniformes; Cobitidae
Source: RefSeq, a predicted model, not a curated record
CUGUUAGAUGUCGCUGUAGAUUUAGCAGUACAUUACUGUAAAAAUCCACAGUACUAUACUGUAUGUGUACAUUACAGUACAGUACUGCAGUUCAUAAUGCAUUCUGGGUAAAUUUGUUUGAGCGGGAAAAUUUUACAGUAUAUUUUGGUCUUGAUGUAACCUUGCUGUAGCCAUUGCUGUAAUGUGCCAGGUGUACUUGCAAUAAUCAGAGAAAGUGCGCCAACGUCAAAUCACACAGAGGGAGAGAGAGCACAACUCCUGGCUGCAGCUGAAGGAGGACGAUUGAUUUCUGGCAGUUCGUCUUACCAUUGCUUGUAAGCUGGAUUGGGUAAGAUGGAUCAUCUUUAAAGGCACCAGGAGUUAAGGCAGAUGUGGAGGCACAACGGGUGAUACCAGACACACACCAAGCACAUUAUGUUUGGACAUUCAAUCAUGACAUGAUCCAGGUGGAUGCUGUCCAUUGAGGAAAGAGUUUGUUCAGCGGUUUCUGGAUAGAAUUAAUUCCAAAGAUGGGAAAAAGUGCACAUCCAGACAAGGAGCAAGCAAAAAGACAAGGAACUUGGUGCAGAGAAAAGCUGUGGCCAUUAACCCCUGUGAACAGCUUCAUGCAGUCGCUGAUUGAGUUCGAAUGGACGACUUCAGUAAAGGCCACUGUGGUCUGUCUGCCACAGUUUAAUUUUUAAUUUAUUUUUAGUGUUCAAUGAAAUUCAAGUAGAAUAUUUAAAACUAUGGGCCAGUGUUGUUUUUACCACGUUGAAAUGUUACCUUUUAGUCGAUGAUGGACUUUAAACUGAAAACUUCAAACUAUGGAACAGUGUUCUAUUUGCCAGAGUUAAAUAUGUUACAGCAGGGGUCUCCAAACUUGUUUAUACUUGUUGAUUUUAUUUUAUGUUACUUGAUUAUAUGUUUAUUAUUGUUUAAAAUCUUGUUUUAAAUAUGUUUGUUUCAAUUAAAUGUUUUUUUUAAUAAAAUUUUGAUACAAACAUUGCUUGGAUUGCCUUUUAAUUCAUUAUGUUUUAAUUUAGCAUUUUUACCAUAUUAAUAACUAUAGAUUUAAACCUAAAUCUCUAGCUAUUUUAUAUAAUAUUAUUGUAUUAACUGUAAUAAGUAAUAAAUAGUAUUUAUGGGUCAAUAUAGACAUUACAGUAAAUUACUGUAAAAAUAGACUACUGUAAUAAAAUAUUGUAAAAUUACAGUACAGUACUGCUUUGUAACUAUACAGUACUAGUUUGUGUACUGUAAAAUGGUAUUACAGUACAGUACUGUAAAACCAAAAUACAGUAACUUACUGGCAACCGUGCUGCCAGUACCGUACUGUAAAAAUACAGGGAAAUCGU